GACAGAGGGUGCAAACGUUGCUCGGAAUUACUGGGCGUAAAGCGCGUGUAGGCGGCUUGGCAAGUCGGGUGUGAAAGCCCUGGGCUCAACCUAGGAAGUGCACUCGAAGCUGCUUCGCUUGAGUGUCAGAGAGGAAAGCGGAAUUCUCGGUGUAGAGGUGAAAUUCGUAGAUAUCGAGAGGAAUAUCGGUGGCGAAGGCGGCUUUCUGGACGACUACUGACGCUGAGACGCGAAAGCGUGGGGAGCAAACAGG
This 253-nucleotide ribosomal RNA is filed under the name uncultured bacterium. RNAcentral describes it as "partial 16S ribosomal RNA". It matches the Rfam family "Bacterial small subunit ribosomal RNA", at positions 524 to 776 of the family's 1533-position model. The record is from RNAcentral.